RNAcentral lists this ribosomal RNA (372 nucleotides) under uncultured organism. Its description in RNAcentral is "bacterial SSU rRNA". It matches the Rfam family "Bacterial small subunit ribosomal RNA", at positions 526 to 896 of the family's 1533-position model. The record is from RNAcentral.
CAGAGGUCCCGAGCGUUGUUCGGAUUCACUGGGCGUAAAGGGUGCGUAGGUGGUGGGGUAAGUCGGAUGUGAAAUCUCCGGGCUCAACCCGGAAACUGCAUUGGAAACUACCUUGCCAGAGGUUUUGAGGGGGGACUGGAAUUCUCGGUGUAGCAGUGAAAUGCGUAGAUAUCGAGAGGAACACCAGUGGCGAAGGCGAGUCCCUGGAAAACACCUGACACUGAGGCACGAAAGCUAGGGGAGCAAACAGGAUUAGAUACCCUGGUAGUCCUAGCCCUAAACGGUGCUUGCUUGCUGUAAGUGGAAUCGACCCCACUUGUGGCGGAGCUAACGCGUUAAGCAAGCCGCCUGGGAAGUACGGUCGCAAGAUUA